ACGAACGCUGGCGGCGUGCUUAACACCUGCCAGUCGAACGGAAAGGCCCUGCUUUUGUGGGGUGCUCGAGUGGCGAACGGGUGAGUAACACGUUAGUAACCUGCCCUUGACUUUGGGAUAACUUCAGGAAACUGGGGCUAAUACCGGAUAGGAGCUCCUGCUGCAUGGUGGGGGUUGGAAAGUUUCGGCGGUUGGGGAUGGACUCGCGGCUUAUCAGCUUGUUGGUGGGGUAGUGGCUUACCAAGGCUUUGACGGGUAGCCGGCCUGAGAGGGUGACCGGCCACAUUGGGACUGAGAUACGGCCCAGACUCCUACGGGAGGCAGCAGUGGGGAAUAUUGCACAAUGGGCGGAAGCCUGAUGCAGCAACGCCGCGUGCGGGAUGACGGCCUUCGGGUUGUAAACCGCUUUCGCCUGUGACGAAGCGUGAGUGACGGUAAUGGGUAAAGAAGCACCGGCUAACUACGUG
RNAcentral lists this ribosomal RNA (467 nucleotides) under uncultured bacterium. RNAcentral describes it as "partial 16S ribosomal RNA". It matches the Rfam family "Bacterial small subunit ribosomal RNA", at positions 29 to 507 of the family's 1533-position model. The record is from RNAcentral.